Molecule: ribosomal RNA, 505 nt
Filed under: uncultured bacterium
Lineage: Bacteria
Description: bacterial SSU rRNA
Rfam family: Bacterial small subunit ribosomal RNA
Source: RNAcentral
GACGAACGCUGGCGGCGUGGAUUAGGCAUGCAAGUCGAACGGUAUCAUCCUUUCGGGGGUGAGAGAGUGGCGAACUGGUGAGUAACACGUAGGUUAUCUACCCUCAAGACGGGGACAACCCAGGGAAACUUGGGCUAAUACCGGAUGUGAGCAACUUUUAGUUGUUUGAAAGGUGGCGUAAGCUGUCGCUUGGGGAUGAGCCUGCGUCCUAUUAGUUAGUUGGUGAGGUAACGGCUCACCUAGGCAAUGAUAGGUAGGCGGCCUUAACGGGUGGUCGCCCACACUGGGAUUGAGAUACGGCCCAGACUCCUACGGGAGGCAGCAGUCGAGAAUAGUCUACAAUGGUCGGAAGACUGAUAGUGCGACGCCGCGUGAACGAUGAAUCCCUUCGGGGUGUAAAGUUCUUUUAUAUGUGAGCAGUGCUUCUUAUAUUAACAGUAUGGGGAGAGAGAUAUUAGCAUAUGAAUAAGCAACGGCUAACUCCGUGCCAGCAGCCGCGGUAACU